This 486-nucleotide ribosomal RNA is filed under the name uncultured bacterium. RNAcentral describes it as "partial 16S ribosomal RNA". It matches the Rfam family "Bacterial small subunit ribosomal RNA", at positions 29 to 507 of the family's 1533-position model. The record is from RNAcentral.
AUGAACGCUAGCGAUAGGCUUAACACAUGCCAGUCGAGGGGCAGCACAAGGUAGCUUGCUAUCUGGGUGGCGACCGGCGCACGGGUGCGUAACGCGUAUGCAACUUGCCCUAUACAGGAGGAUAACCCGUCGAAAGACGGACUAAUACUGCGUAUGCUCACAACUUGGCAUCAAGUGGUGAGGAAAGAAAUUCGGUAUAGGAUAGGCAUGCGUCCCAUUAGCUUGUUGGUGAGGUAACGGCUCACCAAGGCAACGAUGGGUAGGGGAACUGAGAGGUUUAUCCCCCACACUGGUACUGAGACACGGACCAGACUCCUACGGGAGGCAGCAGUGAGGAAUAUUGGUCAAUGGGCGCGAGCCUGAACCAGCCAAGUCGCGUGAAGGAUGACUGUCUUAUGGAUUGUAAACUUCUUUUAUACGGGAAUAACAAGAGUCACGUGUGACUCCCUGCAUGUACCGUAUGAAUAAGCAUCGGCUAACUCCGUG